GUAAUCCCAGUGAGAGGAUUGAAGCUAUGUUAAGUUCAAGAAGUAUGUAGCCACCACAUUUUCAUUUGAGCAGGGUGAGAGAGAUGUUUCCAGUGUCCCAGUGUGGAAUGGAAUGCAUAAGAUAGGCCUCUCACCAAAUUUGGAGAUCACUGAUUCGGUUAAACUGGCUGGCCAGUGAGCCCUCAGGGGCCUCCUGUUUCUGCUUUCUCAGAGCUGGGAUUAGAGGUUAACGUAGAAGACACCUGCUUCAUAGCAACAGCUCUACCAUCCUCAGGCCUUAGGGUCCGACUGAGGACUAGUGGGCUCCUGAUGACCUGGCAUUGCAAACUCCAGCUAUUCCUCAACGAGGUGGCACCCAGUCACUAGCAUCAGAGUGAAAAGGUGCUUCCUUCUGUGUGACCCAUCCCCUUCCCAUCGGCCAUUGACAAAGCAAGUUGAUUCUGUUUUCAGUCCCCUCAAUUCAUGAUGUCUAGGAAAUCUGUCUUAUCAUUGGCAUUGCAGGAAAUUUAAAGCUGUUUAAGUAAGUUGAAGUGCUCAUAAGAUGAGGCUGAACAUUUUAAACCCUUUCCCCAAGAACAUUAUUUUAAUGGUAUUAGUUUUAUAAUAAAUUGAGCACUUAAUUUAAA
Peromyscus maniculatus bairdii (prairie deer mouse) is the source of this 626-nucleotide non-coding RNA. Lineage: Eukaryota; Metazoa; Chordata; Mammalia; Rodentia; Cricetidae. The record is from RefSeq and is a predicted model, not a curated record.